This 450-nucleotide ribosomal RNA is filed under the name uncultured bacterium. Its description in RNAcentral is "partial 16S ribosomal RNA". It matches the Rfam family "Bacterial small subunit ribosomal RNA", at positions 355 to 792 of the family's 1533-position model. The record is from RNAcentral.
UAGGGAAUCUUCCACAAUGGACGAAAGUCUGAUGGAGCAACGCCGCGUGAACGAUGAAGGCUUUCGGGUCGUAAAAGUUCCGUUGUAAGGGAAAGAACAAGUGCCGCAGGCAAUGGCGGCACCUUGACGGUACCUUGCGAGAAAAGCCACGGCUAACUACGUGCCAGCAGCCGCGGUAAAUACGUAGGUGGCAAGCGUUGUCCGGAAUUAUUGGGCGUAAAGCGCGCGCAGGCGGCCUCUUAAGUCUGAUGUGAAAGCCCCCGGCUCAACCGGGGAGGGCCAUUGGAAACUGGGAGGCUUGAGUAUAGGAGAGAAGAGUGGAAUUCCACGUGUAGCGGUGAAAUGCGUAGAGAUGUGGAGGAACACCAGUGGCGAAGGCGACUCUUUGGCCUAUAACUGACGCUGAGGCGCGAAAGCGUGGGGAGCAAAACAGGAUUAGAUACCCUGGUA